This 253-nucleotide ribosomal RNA is filed under the name uncultured bacterium. RNAcentral's name for it is "partial 16S ribosomal RNA". It matches the Rfam family "Bacterial small subunit ribosomal RNA", at positions 524 to 776 of the family's 1533-position model. The record is from RNAcentral.
UACGGAGGGUGCGAGCGUUGUCCGGAAUCACUGGGCGUAAAGUGUGCGCAGGCGGCAAAGCAAGUCGAGUGUGAAAGCCCCGGGCUUAACUUGGGAAUUGCGCUCGAAACUACUUUGCUGGAGUGUGGCAGAGGAAGGUGGAAUUCCACGUGUAGCGGUGAAAUGCGUAGAGAUGUGGAGGAACACCAAUGGCGAAGGCAGCCUUCUGGGCCAACACUGACGCUCAUGCACGAAAGCGUGGGGAGCAAACAGG